Molecule: long non-coding RNA, 349 nt
Filed under: Dermacentor andersoni
Lineage: Eukaryota; Metazoa; Arthropoda; Arachnida; Ixodida; Ixodidae
Description: uncharacterized LOC126547729
Source: RNAcentral
GGAGUAGGCCGAGUAGAACGAGUUGGCGGGGGAGGAGGAGGUGGCGGAGGUGGUGGUGGAGGGCGUUUAGUUGUCGGAGGAGGCGGAGGAGGCGGAGGAGGUGGCGGUGGUGGUGGAGGGCGUUUAGUUGUUGUAGGUGGCGAAGGAGGAGGUGGUGGAGGACGUUUAGUUGUCGGAGGAGGUGGCGGAAGGCGUUUAGUUGUCGGACGAGGUGGUGGAGGGCGUUUAGUUGUCGCAGGAGGCGGAGGAGGAGGUGGUGGAGGGCGUUUAGUUGUCGGAGGAGGUGGCGGAGGGCGUCUAGUUGUCGGAGGAGAAGGAGGAGGCGGAGGAGGAGGUGGUGGACGGCGUU